RNAcentral lists this small RNA (315 nucleotides) under Microcebus murinus (gray mouse lemur). Its description in RNAcentral is "Metazoan signal recognition particle RNA (ENSMICG00000034431.2)". The stretch from base 1 to 152 matches the Rfam family "Metazoan signal recognition particle RNA". Lineage: Eukaryota; Metazoa; Chordata; Mammalia; Primates; Cheirogaleidae. The record is from RNAcentral.
GCCAGGCAUGGUGGCGCAUGCCUGUAGUCCCAGCUACUCGGGAGGCUGAGGCAGUAGGAUCGCUUGAGCCCAGGAGUUUGAGGUUGCUGUGAGCUAGGCUGAUGCCAUGGCACUCACUCUAGCCUGGGCAACAAAGCGAGACUCUGUCUCAAGAAAAAAGAAACAUUAGCUGGGUAUCAUGGCGCAUGCCCAUAGUCCUAGCUACUGAGGAGGCUGAGGCAGGAGGAUUGUUUGAGCCCAGGAGUUUGAGGUUGCUGUGAGCUACGGUGACAUCACUGCAGUCUAGCCUGGGCAACAGAGUGAGACCCUUUCUCA